This 253-nucleotide ribosomal RNA is filed under the name uncultured bacterium. Its description in RNAcentral is "partial 16S ribosomal RNA". It matches the Rfam family "Bacterial small subunit ribosomal RNA", at positions 524 to 776 of the family's 1533-position model. The record is from RNAcentral.
UACGAAGGGGGCGAGCGUUGUUCGGAUUUCCUGGGCGUAAAGCGUGCGCAGGCGGCUUUGCAAGACAGAUGUGAAAUCCCCGGGCUUAACCUGGGAACUGCAUUUGUGACUGCAUGGCUGGAGUGCGGCAGAGGGGGAUGGAAUUCCGCGUGUAGCAGUGAAAUGCGUAGAUAUCGGGAGGAACACCAGUGGCGAAGGCGACUACCUGGCCUGUUCUUGACGCUGAGGCGCGAAAGCUAGGGGAGCAAACGGG